AGGAUCCAGUUCCCUAAGUGGAUGCCUUCCUUACUAGCCUUGUCACUUGUAUCACUUUGAACAUGAAAGAAGAAACAGAUGUAAGCAAAUUCUGGUCCUGCCCUUAGUCAGCAGACUGCAAGUUAGUGCCAGGUUUUCAGGAGCCAAAUCAGAUCCGAAUACAGGGCAGUCAGAUGACAUCAUUUUCACCAGCUAUUGUUUAAUGGUAUGAUUUGCAGGUAGGGAAAUGGAGACAGAGUAAUAAUGCAGGAGCAAGUUACUUCCAUAAACUUGUCUACACGAGGAAGCUUUCUAAAAUACCUGAUGUAGAAUAGCAGUGUCCCCUUGAGGAUUUACAGCAAAAUGAUCAUCCUAGAAUAAAUUAGGGAUAACUAUCUCA
RNAcentral lists this long non-coding RNA (379 nucleotides) under Cyanistes caeruleus (blue tit). RNAcentral describes it as "lncRNA (ENSCCEG00000023946.1)". Lineage: Eukaryota; Metazoa; Chordata; Aves; Passeriformes; Paridae. The record is from RNAcentral.